This 119-nucleotide ribosomal RNA is filed under the name Pelodiscus sinensis (Chinese soft-shelled turtle). The record is from RNAcentral. Lineage: Eukaryota; Metazoa; Chordata; Testudines; Trionychidae.
UGUAGUAGAUCAGUACUCCCUCAGGCUGUGAACUCAUCAGCUCUCAUGAGUCGAACAAGGUUGGGGCUGGUCAGUACUUGGAUUGGAGACCUCCAAGGAAAUCCCAGGGGCUGCUGGAU